CAAAAUACAAAAAUGCUAAAAUGUAAACCUAUACUAAUCCUAGACUACGCUCCACCCGGUGCCUCAGCUCUUGAUCACAAACGUCCUUUCGGUACAAAAUACCUCGGGGCAUCCCCUGAUGAAUGAUACAAAUGGCUUCAGGGAAUUCCCGGCUAAAUGAAUACAAUUGAUUCAAAUGCUGUAAAUAAAACCAUUCAACACAUAUCCAAACAUUCCAACAAUCCACAAGUUCUAAAUUUGCCUACCGAGCCUACUGUUUACCUAUCAUAUCACAAUUCUAUCAUGCUCUACAUCAUCAAUGUAUAAAAAUUAAUGAAAAUUCAUUUUUAUCAAUCCCUAACAUCCGACCCUAAAUCAAUGAUUUUUAUAUUCUAUCCAUUAGCCAAUAAAUUUCACCUAAUUCAACGUAUACAUCAAUUCGAACAACUAAUUCAACAACAUCAAACUAGAUAUUCAAUCAGCUAAACUAACAUCAAACACCACGUAAUUCACUGACAUAUUUGGAAAAUCAAAAUGAGCUAUUGAGAUAAGAGUAAAACUGGGACCUCAAUCGAGCUUUAAGUAUGCAGAAUACAGAUCGAAACAUGGAGCUUCACCACCGGACCUCGACUGAAGAACCUCAACGAUGAACAACAACUCGUCAAACUUCGAUCGGACCUCCAUUCGAAUCAAUAGCCAAAACAGAAACCAAAUUGACCUUUUCCGGUGUAAUAUUCUACGUGCGUGUGCGAUUUAUGCCUCAAUCUUGGUGAAGAAGAUAACCCCUAUAUUUUAGUGAAUACCCAUCUCCCUUUUCGACUCUCUCUCUCGUCUCUCUGAUUUCAGUCCCUCUCUCUUUCGAUCUUUCCCUCUCACUGGUCAGUAUCUAUGGCGGUGUAUAUAUGUGGUCAUCUAUGAUAAGGGUUAGUAUUGUGAUAUUAAUAGAAGAAGAUGGUAGUGUGUGUAUUAUGAAGAAGAACCAAUUCCUAGGAAUUUUUGUUUUCUCUGUAUAUUCAAAAAAAAUGAGAGCUUCUCUGGGUUUUUUUUUUGCGUAUAUGGUGACUGGUCUCUGAGGAAGAUGACUUCUGACGGUCUUUUUUCUUUUGGUGAUGGUGAUAUAUGGGGAGUAUAUGCUAGUGAGAUCCAAUCAAUG
Molecule: long non-coding RNA, 1132 nt
Filed under: Capsicum annuum
Lineage: Eukaryota; Viridiplantae; Streptophyta; Magnoliopsida; Solanales; Solanaceae
Description: long non-coding RNA (CANN_LNC015183)
Source: RNAcentral